Molecule: ribosomal RNA, 460 nt
Filed under: uncultured bacterium
Lineage: Bacteria
Description: partial 16S ribosomal RNA
Rfam family: Bacterial small subunit ribosomal RNA
Source: RNAcentral
CCUACGGGCGGCAGCAGUGAGGAAUAUUGGUCAAUGGACGAGAGUCUGAACCAGCCAAGUAGCGUGAAGGAUGACUGCCCUAUGGGUUGUAAACUUCUUUUAUAUGGGAAUAAAAUGUUUCACGUGUGGGAUUUUGUAUGUACCAUAUGAAUAAGUAUCGGCUAACUCCGUGCCAGCAGCCGCGGUAAUACGGAGGAUCCGAGCGUUAUCCGGAUUUAUUGGGUUUAAAGGGAGCGUAGGUGGCUUGUUAAGUUAGUUGUGAAAGGUUGCGGCGCAACCGUAAAAUUGCAAUUGAAACUGGCAGUCUGGAGUACAGUAGAGGUGGGCGGAAUACGUGGUGUAGCGGUGAAAUGCUUAGAUAUCACGAAGAACUCCGAUUGCGAAGGCAGCUCACUGGACUGCAACUGACACUGAGGCUCGAGAGUGUGGGUAGCAAACAGGAUUAGAUACCCCAGUAGUC